UGGGGAAUAUUGCACAAUGGGCGCAAGCCUGAUGCAGCCAUGCCGCGUGUGUGAAGAAGGCCUUCGGGUUGUAAAGCACUUUCAGCGGGGAGGAAGGCGUUAAGGUUAAUAACCUUGGCGAUUGACGUUACCCGCAGAAGAAGCACCGGCUAACUCCGUGCCAGCAGCCGCGGUAAUACGGAGGGUGCAAGCGUUAAUCGGAAUUACUGGGCGUAAAGCGCACGCAGGCGGUCUGUCAAGUCGGAUGUGAAAUCCCCGGGCUCAACCUGGGAACUGCAUUCGAAACUGGCAGGCUAGAGUCUUGUAGAGGGGGGUAGAAUUCCAGGUGUAGCGGUGAAAUGCGUAGAGAUCUGGAGGACUACCGGUGGCGAAGGCGGCCCCCUGGACAAAGACUGACGCUCAGGUGCGAAAGCGUGGGGAGCAAACAGG
Molecule: ribosomal RNA, 429 nt
Filed under: Chloroflexota bacterium
Lineage: Bacteria; Bacillati; Chloroflexota
Description: Chloroflexi bacterium partial 16S ribosomal RNA
Rfam family: Bacterial small subunit ribosomal RNA
Source: RNAcentral